GACCAUAAUGAUUUUCAGCAACCAUGAGAUGUCGACAACACGUCCAAACAAGUCCAAAAGCAUCGACGAAUUUGCAGAGUCAAUGAAACAUGGCUGAUAAUUUUCCCGAGGCAUAAAAAAAUCAGAAUUAUAUAAUUAAUAAAAAUAUUAGGCGAAGAAACAUAUUCAAAACGUCGUGAACCAUGUUAUUAGAAAAGGUCUCACCGACGUACUGGGGCGCCGACAGGGUCCAACAUCAAUUUCACCGAAACACCCAAAUGAGUAGUGCUUCUUGAAGGUUUUGACGAGAGGAAUCCAAAAAUGAUGUCAGUUUUUCAAGACGAUGAACGUGUUGGCCGGAGUUUGGCAACACAGCCGCGGCGAGGGUGAAAACCCAUUUUUUUUAAGUAUAACGAUUGGCGAUUUGAAGCAUAGGUAAUGGAAGAGGGUGUUUUGUGGAGUCCAAAUAUGGUCUCAGUUUUCAUUGGUGAUGGUCGUGGUGGCCGGAAUCUUGAUCAACAGGUGGUGAUGUGAUUUUUGGCAAAGAGAAAUAGGGCGUUUAAGUUUGCGAUUCAAGUUGAAAAUGAAAGCAGAGAUCACAACUAUCACAAAUGUGGUCUCGGUUUUGCACAACACCCACUAUAACGAUCAUAACUGAAGAGAGAACAUAGAGAAGAAAUAGGAAUCGCGGCAAGGGUAUAUACGAAGAAGAAGAAGAAGAAGAAGGCUCAGUCUUCCUUUUCCUUUUUAUUAUCUUAUUUUAUGUUUUCAUUACUAUUAUUAUUAUUAUUAUUAUUAUUAUUAUUAUUAUUAUUAUUAUUAUUAUUAUUAAUUGUUACUCUUGUAUAUGAACUUAACCCAUAAAACACAUUUUACUCCUUUCUUCUAUUUUAUU
This 874-nucleotide long non-coding RNA is filed under the name Cicer arietinum (chickpea). RNAcentral describes it as "long non-coding RNA (CARI_LNC003187)". Lineage: Eukaryota; Viridiplantae; Streptophyta; Magnoliopsida; Fabales; Fabaceae. The record is from RNAcentral.